This 329-nucleotide ribosomal RNA is filed under the name Escherichia coli. RNAcentral's name for it is "bacterial SSU rRNA". It matches the Rfam family "Bacterial small subunit ribosomal RNA", at positions 1 to 326 of the family's 1533-position model. The record is from RNAcentral. Lineage: Bacteria; Pseudomonadati; Pseudomonadota; Gammaproteobacteria; Enterobacterales; Enterobacteriaceae.
AAAUUGAAGAGUUUGAUCAUGGCUCAGAUUGAACGCUGGCGGCAGGCCUAACACAUGCAAGUCGAACGGUAACAGGAAGAAGCUUGCUUCUUUGCUGACGAGUGGCGGACGGGUGAGUAAUGUCUGGGAAACUGCCUGAUGGAGGGGGAUAACUACUGGAAACGGUAGCUAAUACCACAUAACGUCGCAAGACCAAAGAGGGGGACCUUCGGGCCUCUUGCCAUCGGAUGUGCCCAGAUGGGAUUAGCUAGUAGGUGGGGUAACGGCUCACCUAGGCGACGAUCCCUAGCUGGUCUGAGAGGAUGACCAGCCACACUGGAACUGAGACA